UGGGGAAUAUUGCGCAAUGGGGGAAACCCUGACGCAGCAACGCCGCGUGGGUGAAGAAGGCCUUCGGGUUGUAAAGCCCUUUCGGCUGGGAAGAAGUGAUUUGCGGUGAAUAAUCGCAGAUUGUGAUGGUACCAGAGGAAGAAGCACCGGCAAACUUCGUGCCAGCAGCCGCGGUAAUACGAAGGGUGCGAGCGUUGUUCGGAAUUAUUGGGCGUAAAGGGUUCGUAGGCUGGAAUGUAAGUUGAGUGUGAAAACCCCGGGCUUAACCUGGGACGUGCACUCAAAACUGCGUUUCUUGAGUAUCAGAGAGGGUGGUGGAAUUGCUGGUGUAGGAGUGACAUCCGUAGAGAUCAGCAGGAACGCCGGAGGCGAAAGCGACCACCUGGCUGAAGACUGACGC
RNAcentral lists this ribosomal RNA (400 nucleotides) under uncultured bacterium. RNAcentral describes it as "bacterial SSU rRNA". It matches the Rfam family "Bacterial small subunit ribosomal RNA", at positions 355 to 746 of the family's 1533-position model. The record is from RNAcentral.